AUUGAACGCUGGCGGCAGGCUUAACACAUGCAAGUCGAGCGGGGUGAUGGUGCUUGCACUAUCACUUAGCGGCGGACGGGUGAGUAAUGCUUAGGAAUCUGCCUAUUAGUGGGGGACAACAUCUCGAAAGGGAUGCUAACACCGCAUACGUCCUACGGGAGAAAGCAGGGGAUCACUUGUGACCUUGCGCUAAUAGAUGAGCCUAAGUCGGAUUAGCUAGUUGGUGGGGUAAAGGCCUACCAAGGCGACGAUCUGUAGCGGGUCUGAGAGGAUGAUCUGCCACACUGGGACUGAGACACGGCCCAGACUCCUACGGGAGGCAGCAGUGGGGAAUAUUGGACAAUGGGGGGAACCCUGAUCCAGCCAUGCCGCGUGUGUGAAGAAGGCCUUAUGGUUGUAAAGCACUUUAAGCGAGGAGGAGGCUCUUUUGGUUAAUACCCAAGAUGAGUGGACGUUACUCGCAGAAUAAGCACCGGCUAACUUCGUGCCAGCCGCCGCCGUAA
Molecule: ribosomal RNA, 503 nt
Filed under: uncultured bacterium
Lineage: Bacteria
Description: partial 16S ribosomal RNA
Rfam family: Bacterial small subunit ribosomal RNA
Source: RNAcentral